This 468-nucleotide ribosomal RNA is filed under the name uncultured bacterium. Its description in RNAcentral is "partial 16S ribosomal RNA". It matches the Rfam family "Bacterial small subunit ribosomal RNA", at positions 28 to 507 of the family's 1533-position model. The record is from RNAcentral.
GACGAACGCUGGCGGCGUGCUUAACACAUGCAAGUCGAACGGAAAGACCCUGCUUUUGUGGGGUGCUCGAUUGGCGAACGGGUGAGUAGCACGUGAGUAACCUGCCCUUGACUUUGGGAUAACUUCUGGAAACUGGGGCUAAUACCGGAUAGGAUCUCCUGCUGCAUGGUGGGGGUUGGAAAGUUUCGGCGGUUGGGGAUGGACUCGCGGCUUAUCAGCUUGUUUGUGGGGUAGUGGCUUACAAAGGCUUUGACGGGUAGCCGGCCUGGGAGGGUUGCCGGCCACAUUGGGACUGAGAUACGGCCCAGAAUCCAACGGGAGGCAGCAGUGGAGAAUAUUGCACAAUGGGCGGAAGCCAGAUGCAGCAACGCUGCGUGCGGAAUGACGGCCUUCGGGUUGUAAACCGCUUUCGCCGGUGACGAAGCGUGCGUGACGGUAAUGGGUAAAGAAGCACCGGCUAACUACGUG